GGGUCAGUAGGUUGGUCGUGCCACCGGUACGUACUGGUCUCACUGAUUCCUCCUUCCUGAAGAACCGUAAUGCCAUUAAUUUGGUGUCGCGGGGAAACAGGACUGUUACUUUGAAAAGAUUAGAGUGUUUAAAGCAAGCUAACGCUUGAAUACAUUAGCAUGGAAUAAUGAAAUAGGACGAUCGAUCCUAUUUUGUUGGUUUCUAGGAUUGACGUA
Molecule: ribosomal RNA, 216 nt
Filed under: Glomeromycotina sp.
Lineage: Eukaryota; Fungi; Glomeromycota
Description: partial small subunit ribosomal RNA
Rfam family: Eukaryotic small subunit ribosomal RNA (bases 40-216)
Source: RNAcentral